Molecule: ribosomal RNA, 119 nt
Filed under: Peromyscus maniculatus bairdii (prairie deer mouse)
Lineage: Eukaryota; Metazoa; Chordata; Mammalia; Rodentia; Cricetidae
Source: RNAcentral
GUCUACGGCCAUACCACCCUGAACGCGCCAGAUCUCGUCUGAUCUCGGAAGCUAAGCAGGGUCGGGCCUGGUUAGUACUUGGAUGGGAGACCACCUGGGAAUACCGGGUGCUGUAGGCU